UAGGGAAUCUUCGGCAAUGGACGAAAGUCUGACCGAGCAACGCCGCGUGAGUGAAGAAGGUUUUCGGAUCGUAAAACUCUGUUGUUAGAGAAGAACAAGGACGUUAGUAACUGAACGUCCCCUGACGGUAUCUAACCAGAAAGCCACGGCUAACUACGUGCCAGCAGCCGCGGUAAUACGUAGGUGGCAAGCGUUGUCCGGAUUUAUUGGGCGUAAAGCGAGCGCAGGCGGUUUCUUAAGUCUGAUGUGAAAGCCCCCGGCUCAACCGGGGAGGGUCAUUGGAAACUGGGAGACUUGAGUGCAGAAGAGGCGAGUGGAACUCCAUGUGUAGCGGUGAAAUGCGUAGAUAUAUGGAGGAACACCAGUGGCGAAGGCGGCUCGCUGGUCUGUAACUGACGCUGAGGCUCGAAAGCGUGGGGAGCAAACAGG
RNAcentral lists this ribosomal RNA (429 nucleotides) under Gemmatimonadota bacterium. Its description in RNAcentral is "Gemmatimonadetes bacterium partial 16S ribosomal RNA". It matches the Rfam family "Bacterial small subunit ribosomal RNA", at positions 355 to 776 of the family's 1533-position model. The record is from RNAcentral. Lineage: Bacteria; Pseudomonadati; Gemmatimonadota.